AUGUUCCUAACCAAUACUGGCGACACUGUGGCUGGAACCAUCGCCAGAACACACCAGGGUGUGGUUGCAUUAGCAUGUGGGCAGCGACUGCAUGCAUGCAAGGACCCAGAAGAAGCUGAAAUGGCUGCUGUUGCACACAGACUCUCAGUAUUAAGCAAAUACUACAGGGGGCCAGUUUGUGUGGAAUCAGACUGUGCUUCAGUCAUCAUAAUGCUGAAUAACAAAGCAAGUAAUCUGUCGGCUCUUUUCCCCCUAGUCAUGAAAGUGAGGCACUUCAUGAAUAUUUUCAAAGAAGUGACCUUCAGUAGCGUGAGAAGAUCCAGCAAUAAACUGGCACAUGAGCUUGCUGCUCUAGGAAGAAGACAGAGAGACCUCUUUAUUUUUGGCGAUGUCCCUCCUCCUUUAAGGAGCAUCCUCAUAGAGGACUGUAAUAGCUCUUCCAUUGUUACUUAA
RNAcentral lists this ribosomal RNA (453 nucleotides) under Triticum aestivum (bread wheat). RNAcentral's name for it is "partial small subunit ribosomal RNA". The record is from RNAcentral. Lineage: Eukaryota; Viridiplantae; Streptophyta; Magnoliopsida; Poales; Poaceae.